UCGUGACCGGGCGUGACGGUACUGCGUGAAUAAGCACGGCUACUCCGUGCAGCAGCGCGGUAAUACGGAGGGUGCAAGCGUUAUCCGAUUUAUGGGUUUAAAGGGUGCGUAGGCGGCAAUUUAAGUCAGUGGUGAAAUCUGCAGCUCAACUGUAGAACCGCCAUUGAAACUGAAUUACUUGAGUAAUCUUGAGGUAGGCGGAAUGUGUAGUGUAGCGGUGAAAUGCUUAGAUAUUACACAGAACACCGAUUGCGAAGGCAGCUUACUAAGGGUUUACUGACGCUGAUGCACGAAAGCGUGGGGAUCAAACAGGAUUAGAUACCCUGGUAGUCCACGCCGUAAACGAUGAUGACUCGCUGUUGGCGAUAUACAGUCAGCGGCUUAGCGAAAGCGUUAAGUCAUCCACCUGGGGAGUACGCUCGCAAGAGUGAAACUCAAAGGAAUUGACGGGGGCCCGCACAAGCGGAGGAACAUGUGGUUUAAUUCGAUGAUACGCGAGGAACCUUACCUGGGCUUAAAUGUGCUAUGACAGCCGGAGAAAUUUGGCAUUCCGCAAGGACAGAGUACAAGGUGCUGCAUGGUUGUCGUCAGCUCGUGCCGUGAGGUGUCGGGUUAAGUCCCAUAACGAGCGCAACCCUUAUUGUCAGUUGCUAACAGGUAAAGCUGAGGACUCUGGCGAGACUGCCACCGUAAGGUGUGAGGAAGGUGGGGAUGACGUCAAAUCAGCACGGCCCUUAUGUCCAGGGCUACACACGUGUUACAAUGGCCAGUACAAAGGGCAGCUACCGGGCGACCGGAUGCUAAUCUCUAAAGCUGGUCUCAGUUCGGAUCGGAGUCUGCAACCCGACUCCGUGAAGCUGGAUUCGCUAGUAAUCGCGCAUCAGCCAUGGCGCGGUGAAUACGUUCCCGGGCCUUGUACACACCGCCCGUCAAACCAUGGGAGUUGGGGGUACCUGAAGUAUGGACCGCGAGGAGCGUCCUAGGGAAAACCAA
Molecule: ribosomal RNA, 993 nt
Filed under: uncultured bacterium
Lineage: Bacteria
Description: bacterial SSU rRNA
Rfam family: Bacterial small subunit ribosomal RNA
Source: RNAcentral